Long non-coding RNA from Leptopilina heterotoma, 1073 nucleotides. RefSeq lists it as uncharacterized. The record is from RefSeq and is a predicted model, not a curated record. The transcript has 2 exons. Lineage: Eukaryota; Metazoa; Arthropoda; Insecta; Hymenoptera; Figitidae.
ACCGUCAGAUCGCUGGUCAAAACAAUUAAUUAAUCAUAAGAAAACUGAUACUUCGAUUUAUUAUUUCAUGUAAAAAUUAUCACUGCGAGUUCCUGAUUUUCAAACUUCGGGAUCACUGCCGAGAUUUUUGGAAAUAAAUACCGGUCAUACUGAGUGACAGAAAUACGAAUAUCCAUCGACGGAGACAUCAGCUGUCAAAACACUGGCCGCAGCCAUCUUGCUGACCAGACGUCGUCGAGAUUGCCCCUCGCGAAGACUAAACGAACUCUUUAUGAACUCUUUCCGACAAUCGAUAAAUUAUCUAAUUACUGACUGUCGCGCAUCGAUUACCAUCGGAAAAUCCUUGUAACGAGUGCGCGUGAGACUCACCACGAAGCCGAGAUGCGCGACUGCUUCGGCGUCCCCGUCGGCCAUUUAAUUCAUUCUCAGUUUGACGUCGACAUAAGAUAGAGGUCAAAAUAGACCAUUUCAUAUUAAAUUCAUUUAAACUUAAAUUAAUUGUGCCUUUUCCUGUCAAGAUAAGCCGAGAAACUAUGAGGGGACGUCGGCGUAUCUCCGUGUUUCUGGACCUCCAUCGCAAACCGCUCAAGAUUGCGGAUAGUUUGAGGCAUUGGUUAGUGACCUAAGGAUUAAGGAGAACGACAACAGGUUGGAAGUAACACAAAUCAUUCUGGACAAGGUGUUAAAAAGAAAAAGUAUGAGUAGUGUGACAAGUCAAGCUAGUUGCAAGUUUGUUUUCAGCAAUGCUUCUAAAGUUAAAGUCGUUUCCAAAAAACAAAAGUGAAGACAAAACAGAAUAAGUUAAAGACGAAAUUGCAUUCAAUUGCAAUUUUUAAAUUACAAUAAUAGGACAAAGUGCUUUUCUGUAACUAGUCAUGUCAACAUUUUCGAUCUUCUUGUCUUAUGUUUAUGGCGAAUUUUCAAUUAAACUCGUUACGGACCAGUAGUUUAAAGAAACCAACCAUUUGUUUCUAUUCGAAUGCCUCACAGAUCAAAUGUAUAAAUGUAUAAAUAAGGUACAAUUUUAAAAUGUUUUCUGUUGGACAAAAAUAUUAAAAAAUUUUUAUAUAAAA